Molecule: long non-coding RNA, 993 nt
Organism: Brassica napus (rape)
Lineage: Eukaryota; Viridiplantae; Streptophyta; Magnoliopsida; Brassicales; Brassicaceae
Exons: 2
Source: RefSeq, a predicted model, not a curated record
AUACUAUAUAUUACAGUUUGUGUUUUUUUUUCAGCAAAAAGAAAUAACAAUUCAUUGUAAUUAAUUAAUUUAAAUUUUUGAUUUUAAGUGAAGUGACAGAUUUGUAAAUAAGAAAGAAAUGCAAUGGCUAAAUGUGUAAAUAAAACAAAAUAUUUAAUCUACUAUCUGUGUUUCCUAACAAUUCUCAUUUAAUCUGCUAUCCAAGUUUCCAAACGACAGAAUCUGUAAAUGAGAAAUAAAUACAGUGACUAUAUGUAAAUAAAAUAAUUUGCUAUCAUUGUUUCCAAACAACUUUCAUUUAAUCUACUAUCUAAGUUUCCAAACAGUACCAAAAGGUACUUCAGUUUUAAUUAUUCUGUUGCCAUCAAGUUUUUUUUUGUAAACUUUUAUAGAUGAAACUGACUUUGAGCUUUUAACAUUUUCUGAUCUUGCUGAUUACUCAAUAUCUAGUCUUUCCUCUGAUAGCAUCGUUACCCUUUUCAUAUUUCUCAAAUGCAAUGGGGGUUGGAUAUAUCGUAGAAUUGAGUCCAGUGCUAAAUUUUGAAUUUUUUUACUAGAGUGAACAUAAGUAUGGAUCCUUUAGAGGAAAGGAUGAUGCCUUCGGGCAUGCACACAGUUGCAAAUAUAUUCUGCUGUUGCUGCGGACAGAAUGUUGGCUGGAAAUAUGCAAGUCUCGCUUUAGCCGCACUUCCAUUCUUCUUGGGAGCGGUUUCUCGUUUUUCUCUUUGUUUCUUUGUUUGUUUGUUAGGAAUCAGCGCAUGAGAAAGAUCAGAAAUAUAAAGAAGGCAAAUUUGUACUAGAAAGAUUGAAGAUGCAUGAGGAGAGUUCAUCAAGGUGUAAAACUGAUGAGGAUGUUCAGGAAGGAGUUGUUCCUGCUUAUCUUCUUGAUCGUGAGAAUACCUCUCGGGCUGAGGUUUGUUUUUUGUUUCAGAGUUGAUUUAGGAUCUUAGCAACACUAUUAAACAAAAGAGGAAAAGUAUGUGUUUAGUUUGA